UCCAGGAGGAAGUGGGGACUGUUAGCAGCAUAGGAUUGAGGAGAUGGAAGAGACCUUUAGAACAGCUGGUCCUUAUGCCGACCGGGUGCCCGCACUAAGUUCAGCAUCAAUAUGGUGACCUCCUGGGAGCAGGGGGCCACCAAGUUGCCUAAGGAUGGCUGAACUGGCCCAGGUCAGAAAGGGAGCAGGUCAGAACUCCCGCACUGACCGUAGUGGGAUUAUGCCUGAUCUUGGUUCUUAAAAGUAAAAAUAAAGAACAGCAGCUCAUUUCUCUCU
Homo sapiens (human) is the source of this 276-nucleotide unclassified non-coding RNA. Lineage: Eukaryota; Metazoa; Chordata; Mammalia; Primates; Hominidae. The record is from Ensembl.